GUUAAUAACUUUGACAUGGUGUCUUUGUUAUUACAUCUUCUCUACAAUGUUUAUAUUGUGUGUGUGUGUAUACUUUCUCUUUCUCUAUUAUAUGUAUAUUUGAUAUUUUGGUAUUUAUGUUAUGAAGUGUUCAGUGUAAAACCGGAAGUCUUUUAAUUUGAAUUAAUUACCAUUACGGAUAUAAACAGACACGGAAAGAUCACACAUGAUCAUGGCGUCCCAGCUGUGCGGUCUGCUACGGACUAAAGGUUUAGCUUCUGGUUUGAUUGGAGAACAAGGUACUGACACUUCGUUUGAUAUGUUUGUUUGUUUGUAUUGAGUUUGUAUAUUGAGUUUAAGUGAUGUCUGUUUGUUUGUAUAUGGUUUUCAUAUUUGCUUACAUUUGGUUUCAUUUUCUCUUUGUGUACAAGCUCUUACGGUGUUUGCCGUACGGUGCAAGAUAUACGGUGUUUGGCCUUUGGUAUAAGGUGUUUUGAUGUUGACGACGGCGUCAGUGAAGUGAAUGCUGCACUGAAAUAAAUUAUGGAAAAACACCAGUGAAAGAGGCAAUCCUUUAUUGAACCAGGGAGCUACAGUAAGAGCUUGCCAUCAUCGGGUCGCUGCUUAACGGAGUGGACGGCAAUUAAAAGGACUUCUGGCAUCGGCGCGCUCGUUGGGAACGGUGUGAUUGCUCGCUACGGAUCAAGAGCGGACUUUAAACAGACGGAGCUACAAGGCUACACACAGCUGCACGGACUGAUCUAACGGACUUCACGGCAUACAACGGCUUUAAACUAGUUUGAGGAUCGCAGUGAGUACUAAAACAAAGAAACUAACUGAACUUUUAAAGGGACAAUUUCUCGAUUAUGGUGUGUGUGUGUUUUUAAAGGGCAAUUGGCGUUGUUGUGUGUGUUUAAGUCACUUGUUAAAUGAAUUGUGAUCUAUCAAAGUGUUUAACUAUGCAUUUUAAUGCCUUUUUGCAUAUGGUUAAAAUGAGUGGUUAAUUUAGUGCCUUAUUGACCUAAAAUUAUUGUGGGGUAUUAAUUUAUAGAUCCAAAAAUGUCAAAAUCAGAUAUAGGUUCAAAGAAGCACACUAAGCAAGCUGAUAUAGAAACUAGGAGUGAAAAUACACGACGUUCAACACGUGCACAGGUCCCUACUGAAAAAAUGUUAGCUUAUCAGCAGGAAGAGCAACAAAAAAAGAAGAAAAAGGUUAUUUCUUUGUAUGAUAAAUGGAAAAUUGAAGCCCGUAAUGCACGUGAGCAACUUAAAUCGGAUCUAUCAGACACUCAAUUAGCUAUUUUAAUUGAAACUUUGGAAAUUGCUAAAAAUAAGGUUCUCAGUGCUUAUGAUGAAUUUAGGAAACAAACAUUACCUGAUGUUGAGAUGAGACGAAAAAUGGAUUCAUGUGAAGCAGUAACAACUGAUGUGACCAGAAUUGUUAAUGAAAGAAUAGCAGGAAUAGACGGUGAUUACAGUUAUGAGAGGGAAAAGGAACGUCUUAGUGCUUUGAGUUAUAAGUAUGCUAAUUCAAUUUUUGGUUCAACAGCUUCACAAGUUAGUCAGGAAAUCAGUGAUCAUUCAGGUCAUUGCUCUGUUUUAUCAGACUUGGAGGCGAAACGUGUAGAUGCUGCAGCAGAAGUAGCAGCCAAACAAGCUGCAUAUAAUUCUUUAAUGGCAGAAACUAAGCAAAAAGAGAAAAUAAAAGAGUUAGAAGAUCAGCAUAAAAAAGCCCUUGAAGUUGAGUUUAAAGAAUUAGAGCAAAUUCAAGCGCAAAAGGAUUUAAAAGUAGCUCAAGCUAAACUGGAUGUUUACAGUGAAGAAGUUGAGAAAAUAACCAGCUCUUUAAAUGAUUGUAGUAGUGCGAGUGGAUCGGAGUUGUCUCAAGGAAAUGAAAGGAAAGAAGUUAAUCGACAGGAACAAAAUGAGACCACAAAUCCAUCAGUUAAAGCAUCAACUUCUGAAUUCUCUGCUCUUGUUCAAGCACUUCAAGAUGGCAUAUCUGCAAGCAAACUUCCAGUUCCAGAGCCUCCUAUUUUUACAGGUGAUCCUAUUCACUUUAUUGAGUUUAAGCAAUCCUUUAUGGCACUUAUUGAUAAGAAAGGGAUUUCCUCUGCUGAUAAGAUGUUUUAUCUCAAGAAAUAUGUGAGUGGGCCUGCACGGAAAGCCUUGGAUGGCACUUUCUUCAGAACUGAUGAUGAAGUCUACAAAGAUGCUUGGGAUAAGUUAAAUCAUCGAUACGGCCAUCCAUUUAUUAUUCAAAAGGCGUUUAGAGAACGUUUAGCAAAUUGGCCUAAAAUCCACCCAAAGGAUGCCAUGGGACUUCAAGCUUUCUCAGAUUUUCUGAAUGCAUGUCGUGGUGCAUUACCUCAUGUUAAGGGUCUUCAGAUCUUAAACGAUUACCAAGAGAAUCAAAAACUUAUGCAAAAGUUACCUGAUUGGGCAAUUAGUAGAUGGAAUCGUCAAGUUACACAGUCUAUCACCAAUAAUCAUGAAUAUCCCACUUUUGAUGAAUUUGCUGUGUUUGUGUCAACUGAAGCGGAUGUAGCAUGUAAUCCAGUUACUUCCUUCCAUGCUCUUCACAAUUCAGGAUAUACAGAUGAGAAGGUAAACAUGAAAGAAGUCAAGAAAAAUAGAAUACGGGUUUUGGCUACUCAAUCAAACACUGAAGGGGAUCAAUAUGUGAUUAAGUCUUCUAGCAAAACUCAAUGUGUGUUCUGUCAGGAAAAUAAUCAUCAACUUGACAAUUGUUCUAAAUUUCUCAGUAGACCAUUAGAAGAACGACGGCAAUACAUCCAAGAAAAGAAGCUUUGUUAUGGAUGCCUGAAUUUUGGACACAGUGCAAAAGUAUGUCGAUAUCGUCUAACAUGUGAUACCUGUAACAAGAAGCAUCCAACUAGUUUGCACAAUAACAACUUUGUGAAAAUGGUAAGAACUUCAUCUUCUGCAGUUCAAACGCAAAACGAUCCUGAAGGUACGGCUAAUGCAGUAACGUUAAAUGUAGCUGGAGAAGAACCUGGUGUGUGUACUUCUAUGAUUGUCCCUGUUUGGGUAUCCGCGAAACAUAAUCCAAGUUGUGAACAAUUGGUAUAUGCGCUGUUGGAUUCUCAGAGUGACACGACUUUCAUUGAUAAAAGUGUGAGUGAUUCAUUAAAAGCUGCAUCAUUUCCAGUGAAACUAAAGCUGACAACAAUGCUUGGAAGGGAUACGGUACUUCAAAGUGAGAGAGUGACUGGACUUCAGGUGAGAGCUUAUAAGUCUAGUGACUAUAUCGAUUUACCAGCAACUUAUACUAAAGAUUGUAUUCCAGCAAAUCGCCACCAUAUUCCCACGAAUGAGGUUGCUGAACAUUGGAAGCAUCUUUCAGUCAUCGCAGACAAAAUACCUCCACUACAGGAUUGUGAUGUUGGCCUGUUAAUCGGCUACAACUGUUCAAGAUCAAUGAUUCCCAGAGAAGUGAUAGUAGGAGGAGACGACGAGCCCUAUGCGGUUCAAACGGAUCUUGGAUGGAGUAUAGUAGGUUGUUCACCACGCUCUGACUUAUUUAAUGUUAGUAGAUUGUGUCAUCGCAUAGCAGUUAGGGAGCUUCCUUCUAUCACACCUGUCAACAUAAUACGGGCCCUUGAGAGUGAUUUUAAAGAUGCAGACGAAGAAACUGUCAGAGUAUCCCAAGAUGAUAUUCUCUUUCUUGAGAAAUUAAAAUCCGGCAUAAGUAAAAACAUUCACGGUCACUACCAAAUGCCCCUUCCUUUUAAAGUAAGGCCGAAACUGCCUAAUAACAAACGAUGCGCUAUGGUUAGACUUGAUCACCUUAAAAGGAAGAUGGUAAGAGAUGAAUCAUACAUGAAGAAUUACAAUCAGUUCAUGAGUCAAAUCUUUCAGAGAGGAGAUGCUGAAGAAGUGCACAGUAGUGGUAAGGAAGGAGAAACGUGGUACCUACCUCACCAUGGUGUUUUUCAUCCGAAAAAGGCAGACAAACUGCGUGUGGUCUUCGACUGUUCUGCAAGGCAUGAAGGUUCAUCCCUAAAUGAUCACUUGCUUCAAGGUCCUGAUCUCAUAAAUAGUUUGCAUGGCAUUCUAAUUCGAUUUCGUCAACAUCCCAUUGCACUUACUUGUGACGUUGAAAAAAUGUACCAUCAGUUUCACGUAGAUGAACCCGAUAGAGAUUUUCUGCGAUUUCUUUGGUGGAAGAAUGGAGACAUCACACAACCUGUUCAUGAAUUUCGUAUGAAAGUUCAUUUAUUUGGGGCUGCUUCAUCUUCAGGUUGUGCGAACUACGGCCUAAAACAUCUUGCGACUGAAAAUGGGGAGUUGUAUCCACUGGGCUCACAGUUCUUGCUUAAGAACUUUUAUGUCGACGAUGGAGUGAUCAGUGUGGAAAACGUGCAUGAAGCCAUUAAGGUUGCAGACGAAGCGCGACGUCUCUGUGCAUUAGGUGGUUUACGAUUACAUAAGUUCUUGUCUAAUAAUGAACUUGUAUUGAAGGGCAUCCCUCAAUCGGAGAGGAUGUGUGGUGUAAGGGGUCUGGAUCUUGCCUUUGAUGAAUUGCCAUUAGAGAGAACACUUGGAUUGCAGUGGGAUAGGGAAUCUGACUGCUUCAAGUUUAAAGUACACCUGAAAGAACAACCUGCCUCUCGGCGUGGCAUAUUAUCUGCUGUCGCUUCUGUUUAUGACCCUUUAGGACUCAUUGCACCUGUCCUUUUCAAUGGAAAGCGAAUCUUGCAAGAGAUGUGCAAGAAUGGCAGUGGUUGGGAUGACCCUCUGAUGGAUGGACUGAGUUUAAGAUGGGUAAAAUGGAAACAAGAUUUACAAAGCCUGCAAAAUCUAAGCAUACCACGCACAUAUGUACCAUUGAAUUUCGGGAAACCAAUUAGUAUUGAAUUGCAUCAUUUCUCCGAUGCUAGUAAUGAUGGAUAUGGUCAAUGUUCUUAUGUCAGAGUAAAGAAUGAAGAAGGAAAUGUUCAUUGCGCACUUGUGAUGGCAAAAUCAAGAGUUGCACCUCUCAAAGUUGUAACAGUCCCUAGGUUGGAAUUAGCUGCUGCUGUAGUCUCAGUGGAAGUAAGUAAUGUACUCAAAAGGGAGCUGGAUUAUCCCGUUGCUAAUGAGACAUUUUGGACUGACUCUAAAGUGUUGCUGGGGUAUAUAAGUAAUGAAGCACGCAGAUUUCACACAUUUGUUGCAAACCGGGUGCAAAGGAUAUGCCGCAGCACAAAAAUCGAACAGUGGAGAUAUGUUCCGACGGAAAGAAAUCCCGCUGACUACGCAUCUAGGGGUCUCACUGUAAAGCAACUACUUGACUCUGAUUGGUUUACCGGCCCAAAAUUUUUGUGGGAAACUGAAAUGUUUAUUCCAUCUGAGCCCGCUCCUGCUCUUCUAUUGGGCGAUCCAGAAGUAAAAAGCUUUUUUACUUUGAAUACAGAGUGUCAAAACAGCUUCAAUUUGGCCAACCGCUUAACAAAAUUUUCUUCAUGGACUAAGGCAGUUGGAGCUGUAGCUCGUCUCUUAAGGAGAGCCAACAAGGAUAGAUCUAGUAGUCUUAGUACCAUGCUAGAAAGACAAAAGGCAGAACUCCAUAUAAUUAAAUGCUUGCAAGAGAGUUCUUUUAAGGAUGAGCUGAAGGAAAUCAAGGGUGGGAGAGGUGUGUCAUGUGGUGCAUUACGUCCUCUUGACCCUUUCGUGGAUCUUGAUGGUGUGCUUAGGGUGGGAGGAAGACUUACUCGAUCAAGUUACCCAGACUCUGUGAAGCAUCCCAUAAUUAUUCCAAAGACACAUCAAAUUACACAAAUGAUCGUUGCUCAUUAUCACAACAAAGUUAUGCAUCAAGGAAAAGGAUUUACUGUAAAUGAAAUUAGAAGUAAUGGGUUCUGGAUCCCAGGAAUCAACAAAGUUGUGGCAUCCUUCAUUAAAGGUUGUGUUGUCUGCAGAAAACUCAGAAGACCAGUUGAGGAACAAAAAAUGGCAGAUCUUCCACCAGAAAGAGUUGAUCCAUCCCCUCCGUUUCUGUACACUGGGAUGGAUUGUUUUGGUCCGUUUUCAGUUAAGUCUAGGCGAAAUGUACAAAAAAGGUAUGGCCUCCUGUUAACGUGUCUUUGUUCCCGUGCUGUGCACAUUGAACUGCUUAAUGACUUGACAACUGAUUCUUUUAUAAAUGCUCUACGUUGUUUUAUUGCCAUUAGAGGCACAGUUCGACAGCUAAGAUCUGAUCAAGGGACCAAUUUUGUGGGAGCAAGAAACGAGCUGAAAGGUGCACUCUGUGAAAUGGAUCCAGAAAGAAUAACUACUUUCCUUUUGGAAAAUCAGUGCGAAUUCAUCAUGAAUACACCUCAUGCAAGUCAUGCUGGUGGCGUAUGGGAACGUCAAAUAAGAACAAUAAGAUCUGUUCUGAAUGCGACCUUUGCUCUUUAUCCAGGGAAAUUAGAUGACUCUUGUCUGAGAGCGUUCCUUUAUGAAGCAAUGGCAAUUGUAAAUAGCAGACCACUAACUGUUGAUUGUUUGAAUGAUCCACAAAGUUUAAGACCCAUUACUCCGAACAAUCUGCUUACAUUGAAGCCAGUGACUGCUCUGCCUCCACCAGGUAAAUUUUUGGAGGAAGAUGUGUAUGCAAGAAAGAGGUGGAGACACGUGCAGUACUUAGCCGAACAGUUUUGGAGCCGUUGGCGCAAGGAAUAUUUAGCAAACAUAGUGACUCGUCAGAAAUGGAAUAUGCCUAAGAGAAACCUUCAAAUUAAUGACAUUGUAUUGGUGAAGGAAGAAAACUUGCCUAGAAAUGAAUGGAAGCUAGGUAGGAUACAGGAAACCAUUAGUAGUGGUGACGGGCUUAUUAGGAAGGCUAAAGUGCUCUUAGGUGAUUGUAAACUUGAUGCGAAGGGAAAACGUACAACCAAGCAAUCCAUAAUUGAAAGACCAGUGCAAAAACUUGUAUUGCUAAAGGAAGGAAAUGAAUAGUUAUUUAAAAUUGUGUAAAUAAGUGGAUCAUGAAAUCAUUUUAAAUUUUCUACAUAUUUAUGGGUGUGUAUUUAUUAUCAUGAAAAAAAAAAAAAGGGUAUUUAUAAAAAAAAAAAAAAUUUUUAAAGGGAAAAAAAAAAAAAAAAAAAAACACGUGAAGAGUUUGUUGCUAGGAAAUUAUUCGUGACUUGUAAUUUGGGUUUAAUACUUGCACUCAUAAUUUGGUGGGAGUGUUAAUAACUUUGACAUGGUGUCUUUGUUAUUACAUCUUCUCUACAAUGUUUAUAUUGUGUGUGUGUGUAUACUUUCUCUUUCUCUAUUAUAUGUAUAUUUGAUAUUUUGGUAUUUAUGUUAUGAAGUGUUCAGUGUAAAACCGGAAGUCUUUUAAUUUGAAUUAAUUACCAUUACGGAUAUAAACAGACACGGAAAGAUCACACAUGAUCAUGGCGUCCCAGCUGUGCGGUCUGCUACGGACUAAAGGUUUAGCUUCUGGUUUGAUUGGAGAACAAGCUCUUACGGUGUUUGCCGUACGGUGCAAGAUAUACGGUGUUUGGCCUUUGGUAUAAGGUGUUUUGAUGUUGACGACGGCGUCAGUGAAGUGAAUGCUGCACUGAAAUAAAUUAUGGAAAAACA
Non-coding RNA from Danio rerio (zebrafish), 7557 nucleotides. Lineage: Eukaryota; Metazoa; Chordata; Actinopteri; Cypriniformes; Danionidae. The record is from RefSeq and is a predicted model, not a curated record.